GGAAAUGCGUUGAUAAGGAUUAGUACAUGCAACGCACUGUUCAGAGAGCCGAUGGUAGGUGUGAAUCGGUCAGUGCUUGUAUGGAAUCCACCUUGGAGUAGAAGGAGAAACACUUCUCGGUUAGCAGCCGUUAUUGCUAAGUGGCAUUUAGGUAUUAGGGAAGUGCACCCUAAUACCUAGGCAACAAGGGUGGUAACGCGGGUGCUCUCGUCCCUUCU
This 218-nucleotide non-coding RNA is filed under the name Halalkalibacter wakoensis. RNAcentral's name for it is "Bacillus wakoensis T-box sequence". It matches the Rfam family "T-box leader". From Rfam's summary of the family: Uncharged tRNA acts as the effector for transcription antitermination of genes in the T-box leader family. The record is from RNAcentral. Lineage: Bacteria; Bacillati; Bacillota; Bacilli; Caryophanales; Bacillaceae.